AUCCAGCUGACGAGUCCCAAAUAGGACGAAAAGUGCAUUCUGUAU
RNAcentral lists this non-coding RNA (45 nucleotides) under Schistosoma mansoni. The record is from RNAcentral. Lineage: Eukaryota; Metazoa; Platyhelminthes; Trematoda; Strigeidida; Schistosomatidae.